ACGAUGCCUCUGAGUCCUUUAGUCUUUCAACAAGCUCUAACUUCGAAAAGUCAACAUCAAUCCUGAAGCUCUCAUCGAAUCCAGUCUCAUCGCGGUAGAUGCUGUCCUCCUUUCUGACCGGUCCAACAGAAGAGCUUGACAUGGAGGGAAAGGAUAGAAUUGGGUAUCACAGGGUUGAAGCGAGUUGUUUCAGGAUCGUAGAAUCGUGGUAGCUGGUGGUAUGAGCAAAGACAAGACACUGGAUGUUGUUGUUGGGAUCUUUGUUGAUACUUCCAGGGUUUUUGGGUUGGGUCAGUUACACGUGAUGAGGUACUGAGGGAUGCGCAUAAUGUAUUUCACCACUUAAUCGGACACACCACUUACUCAGACACUUGAUCACAUGAUAUAGUCUAGUUUAGUAAGCACC
This 406-nucleotide small RNA is filed under the name Histoplasma capsulatum var. duboisii H88. Its description in RNAcentral is "Histoplasma capsulatum H88 hypothetical RNA". Lineage: Eukaryota; Fungi; Ascomycota; Eurotiomycetes; Onygenales; Ajellomycetaceae. The record is from RNAcentral.